GAAACCCCCGCCCAGCCUCUCCAGUGCACCUCUGUAACACGAGCACAAGAAACCCCACAGCCAGAGCCCCAAUAUGACAUGUCCAGGGAUGCACUGAGAUGCUGGGCGGGGUUUCCCCUCACUGGAUCUGCUGCCGGACACACACCUGCAGCAGACUGGAAAUCAGCACAUGUUAAUUGGCACUGAUCACCACUCUACAUGCUGCCAGAUGAUUUCGUCAGUACUGCAUGUGUUUCACCUUGUUUCAUUUCAGCUCGUCACUUUAUGCCCUCCACCAGUGCAACGGUGAUGCUAUCCUUCUCCCCCUCCUCCUUGCCAGUGAGUGGAAAUCUACAUCUGAUCCUCCUUGCCACUUAGGCCGGGUGCUAUAAAGUGGUGCUGGAGCCAGAGUGACUGAGCUACAGACUGCACUUUUUACUUUGGAGGCUAAUCUUCCUCUGUUGACCAGCGUUUUGCUUGUAAAUACACUAUUUUCUAGCAUAACA
Molecule: long non-coding RNA, 485 nt
Organism: Acanthopagrus latus (yellowfin seabream)
Lineage: Eukaryota; Metazoa; Chordata; Actinopteri; Spariformes; Sparidae
Exons: 5
Source: RefSeq, a predicted model, not a curated record